RNAcentral lists this ribosomal RNA (497 nucleotides) under uncultured bacterium. RNAcentral's name for it is "partial 16S ribosomal RNA". It matches the Rfam family "Bacterial small subunit ribosomal RNA", at positions 28 to 507 of the family's 1533-position model. The record is from RNAcentral.
GAUGAACGCUGGCGGCGUGCCUAAUACAUGCAAGUCGAGCGAACAGACGAGGAGCUUGCUCCUCUGAAGUUAGCGGCGGACGGGUGAGUAACACGUGGAUAACCUACCUAUAAGACUGGGAUAACUUCGGGAAACCGGAGCUAAUACCGGAUAAUAUAUUGAACCGCAUGGUUCAAUAGUGAAAGACGGUUUUGAUGUCACUUAUAGAUGGAUCCGCGCCGCAUUAGCUAGUUGGUAAGGUAACGGCUUACCAAGGCAACGAUGCGUAGCCGACCUGAGAGGGUGAUCGGCCACCCUGGAACUGAGACACGGUCCAGACUCCUACGGGAGGCAGCAGUAGGGAAUCUUCCGCAAUGGGCGAAAGCCUGACGGAGCAACGCCGCGUGAGUGAUGAAGGUCUUCGGAUCGUAAAACUCUGUUAUUAGGGAAGAACAAAUGUGUAAGUAACUAUGCACGUCUUGACGGUACCUAAUCAGAAAGCCACGGCUAACUACGUG